RNAcentral lists this non-coding RNA (45 nucleotides) under Trichobilharzia regenti. Lineage: Eukaryota; Metazoa; Platyhelminthes; Trematoda; Strigeidida; Schistosomatidae. The record is from RNAcentral.
AUCCAUCUGAUGAGUCCCAAAUAGGACAAAAUGAGUAUCUUGGAU